ACGAACGCUGGCGGCGUGCUUAACACAUGCAAGUCGAACGCUGAACCCGCUUCGGUGGGGGAUGAGUGGCGAACGGGUGAGUAACACGUGGGCAACCUGCCCCCGGCUCUGGGAUAACUCCAAGAAAUUGGGGCUAAUACCGGAUGUGACCGCUGGCCGCAUGGUCUGGUGGUGGAAAGGGUUUCCGGCUGGGGAUGGGCCCGCGGCCUAUCAGCUUGUUGGUGGGGUAGUGGCCUACCAAGGCGACGACGGGUAGCCGGCCUGAGAGGGUGACCGGCCACACUGGGACUGAGACACGGCCCAGACUCCUACGGGAGGCAGCAGUGGGGAAUAGUGCGCAAUGGGCGGAAGCCUGACGCAGCGACGCCGCGUGGGGGAUGACGGCCUUCGGGUUGUAAACCUCUUUCAGCAGGGACGAAGCGCAAGUGACGGUACCUGCAGAAGAAGCACCGGCCAACUACGUG
Molecule: ribosomal RNA, 464 nt
Filed under: uncultured bacterium
Lineage: Bacteria
Description: partial 16S ribosomal RNA
Rfam family: Bacterial small subunit ribosomal RNA
Source: RNAcentral